Long non-coding RNA from Cyprinus carpio carpio, 1007 nucleotides. NCBI's taxonomy places the organism in Eukaryota, Metazoa, Chordata, Actinopteri, Cypriniformes, Cyprinidae. The record is from Ensembl.
UGCCUUUUAUUUUUUCCCCUGUUUGCUAUUUCACAUUCCUGUCACUGAAGCGUUGUGGCCUAAGACACAGAAGGUAACUGAAACAAUGUGGUUUAAGUCAAGGUGAUCAUUCGGGGUCCAAGCACAUUGGUUUGUGUAGAUGAUGCAGUUACACAAUGAACGUGUCUCUUUUCAAGUAAAUUGUGAGUCCUUUUGUGAGUACUAUUAUAUGCACAACAUGAAAAUAGAUAACUAAUAUAGUGUCCCUUCUACACUUUUUCCGUAAUGUGUGAUAACUUGAAAAAUAUGUUGUCAAUACAAUUAAAAUAACAAAGUAAUGGUAUUUAGGAGAUGAUAGCUUUUGCAUAAUUACUAUAUUGGGCUUUAUUAAAGUUUAUGAAAAAAGAAGGAAUGUUUAUGCAUUUUUUAUUUAUGCACAUAAAUGAAACAUUUUCAAGUCUUUGAACAGAUCUUGAAGUAUUUGCUAUCCUGUGGCGCCAUCGAGUGGAUAACAUUAGCAUUGUGGCCUUCAUUUUUGAACAACAUUAUGAAAGGGGCCAAUAUUUUUUGAAUGAUUAUAAAUAUUUAAUGAUUAGUUUACUGAUAAUAUACCCACAUUAAAAUCUAAUUUACUGAUUCUGUGUCUUAUUUCAUGCUUAAUCAUGAGUUUAAUUUUCAAUUUACAUUUUAAGCAGUGUUGAAUGAUUACUAUGUGAGUUGCUAAUUUUUUUUUUUUUUUUUAUUUUUUUAUUUUAGGGUUUACAUUUUAAAAAAUUAGCCUACUUCAAACAUUUUAAGCAGCUUGAACAAAACCUCUUAAUAUUUAUUACAGACCACUGUAACUGUCUAUAAUCUAAAAAACAAAUUUCUUAUGAAAAUAAAAGUGUGUACACCAGUUAAAUUGGACGAUAAAGAAAUUGCUAACAAUAGUUUAUAGUGCAUGUUUUAAGUUUAUAGGUGUUUGGAUGCAGAAAUGGACAAAUCAAAUGUAAAAUAACAUGUCAUCGAUUUAGUUAAAUAUAGAUUAA